This 75-nucleotide transfer RNA is filed under the name Verrucomicrobiaceae bacterium. Its description in RNAcentral is "tRNA-Thr". It matches the Rfam family "tRNA". From Rfam's summary of the family: Transfer RNA (tRNA) molecules are approximately 80 nucleotides in length. The record is from RNAcentral. Lineage: Bacteria; Pseudomonadati; Verrucomicrobiota; Verrucomicrobiia; Verrucomicrobiales; Verrucomicrobiaceae.
GCUGUCUUAGCUCAGCGGUAGAGCACUUCAUUGGUAAUGAAGAGGUCAACAGUUCAAUCCUGUUAGACAGCACCA